RNAcentral lists this ribosomal RNA (579 nucleotides) under Sphingobacteriia bacterium enrichment culture DGGE band 9. Its description in RNAcentral is "bacterial SSU rRNA". It matches the Rfam family "Bacterial small subunit ribosomal RNA", at positions 338 to 917 of the family's 1533-position model. The record is from RNAcentral. Lineage: Bacteria; Pseudomonadati; Bacteroidota; Sphingobacteriia.
CCUACGGGAGGCAGCAGUAGGGAAUCUUGCGCAAUGGGCGAAAGCCUGACGCAGCCAUGCCGCGUGAAGGAUUAAGGUCCUCUGGAUUGUAAACUUCUUUUAUAAGGGACGAAAAAAGGCUUUUCUAAGUCGUCUGACGGUACCUUAUGAAUAAGCACCGGCUAACUCCGUGCCAGCAGCCGCGGUAAUACGGAGGGUGCAAGCGUUAUCCGGAUUCACUGGGUUUAAAGGGUGCGUAGGCGGGCAGGUAAGUCAGUGGUGAAAUCCUAGAGCUUAACUCUAGAACUGCCAUUGAUACUAUCUGUCUUGAAUAUCGUGGAGGUAAGCGGAAUAUGUCAUGUAGCGGUGAAAUGCUUAGAUAUGACAUAGAACACCUAUUGCGAAGGCAGCUUACUACGCAUAUAUUGACGCUGAGGCACGAGAGCGUGGGGAUCAAACAGGAUUAGAUACCCUGGUAGUCCACGCCCUAAACGAUGGAUACUCGACAUACGCGAUACACUGUGUGUGUCUGAGCGAAAGCAUUAAGUAUCCCACCUGGGAAGUAGGACCGCAAGGUUGAAACUCAAAUGAAUUGACGGA